UAUUACUAUGGAGAGUUUGAUCCUGGCUCAGGAAGAACGCUAGCGGCAGGCCUUAUACAUGCAAGUCGAGG
This 71-nucleotide ribosomal RNA is filed under the name Flammeovirgaceae bacterium. RNAcentral's name for it is "partial 16S ribosomal RNA". It matches the Rfam family "Bacterial small subunit ribosomal RNA", at positions 1 to 67 of the family's 1533-position model. Lineage: Bacteria; Pseudomonadati; Bacteroidota; Cytophagia; Cytophagales; Flammeovirgaceae. The record is from RNAcentral.